RNAcentral lists this long non-coding RNA (412 nucleotides) under Mus caroli (Ryukyu mouse). RNAcentral's name for it is "lncRNA (MGP_CAROLIEiJ_G0004645.1)". The record is from RNAcentral. Lineage: Eukaryota; Metazoa; Chordata; Mammalia; Rodentia; Muridae.
GCUCCUUCAGCCCUUCCCCCAAUUUUUUCAUUGGAGUCCUGGGCCCAUUCUGGACAAAAAAUGGGGCAGAGACUAAAGGAAAGGCCAUCCAGAGACUGCCCUACCUUGGAAUCUAUCCCAUCUGAAGACACCAAACUCCAGCACUAUUGCGGAUGCCAAGAAACCAGGGCUUGGAUUUGGCUGUGUUCCUCUGUUGAAGGUUACAGCUACUGCCGCACAGCUGUCUUUGUACAGAUCUCCCCAGAUAAAUCCAUAAUGUAAGGUUCCAGAUGGCCACACUUAUUUGGAGACACUAUUUAACACAAUUCUACUUCUACUUCCAUGAGAACCUGGUGAAGAAGACACAGCCAGAGCUUUGAUCAAAGAUUCCAAAUGCAAAUAUACCUAACCAUCCAACUGGUCCCAUCAGCCA